Molecule: ribosomal RNA, 489 nt
Filed under: uncultured bacterium
Lineage: Bacteria
Description: bacterial SSU rRNA
Rfam family: Bacterial small subunit ribosomal RNA
Source: RNAcentral
GAUGAACGCUGGCGGCGUGCCUAACACAUGCAAGUCGAGCGGGUGUGUUUGGAGUGCUUGCACUCCGAAUAUACUAGCGGCAGACGGGUGAGUAACGCGUGGGUAACCUACCUUGAACAGGGGAAUAACACUGAGAAAUCAGUGCUAAAACCGCAUAAGCUCCCGAUACGGCAUCGUAUUGAGAGAAAAUAUUCAUAGGUUCAAGAGGGGCCCGCGGCUGAUUAGCUAGUUGGAGAGGUAACGGCUCACCAAGGCGACGAUCAGUAGCCGACCUGAGAGGGUGAUCGGCCACAUUGGGACUGAGACACGGCCCAAACUCCUACGGGAGGCAGCAGUGGGGAAUAUUGCGCAAUGGACGAAAGUCUGACGCAGCAACGCCGCGUGAAGGAUGAAGGUUUUCGGAUUGUAAACUUCUAUCGAUGGGGAAAAUAAUGAUAGUACCCAAGUAAGAAGCCCCGGCUAACUACGUGCCAGCAGCCGCAGUAACAC